AACUAACGCUGGCGGCGUGCCUAACACAUGCAAGUCGUACGAGAAAGCCGGCUUCGGCUGGUGAGUAAAGUGGCGCACGGGUGAGUAACGCGUGGAUAAUCUGCCCUUAAGUGUGGAAUAACGUACCGAAAGGUGCGCUAAUACCGCAUAAUGCCUGGCAACACAAGUUGUCCGGCCAAAGAAGGCCUCUGUUUACAAGCUUUCGCUUCAGGAUGAGUCCGCGUACCAUUAGCUUGUUGGUGGGGUAAUGGCCUACCAAGGCUGCGAUGGUUAGCUGGUCUGAGAGGAUGAUCAGCCACACUGGAACUGAGACACGGUCCAGACUCCUACGGGAGGCAGCAGUGAGGAAUAUUGCGCAAUGGGGGCAACCCUGACGCAGCAACGCCGCGUGAGUGAGAAGGUUUUCGGACUGUAAAGCUCUGUCGAGCGGGAAGAAGUGUACCAUGGCUAAUAUCCAUGAUAUUUGACGGUACCGCUAGAGG
RNAcentral lists this ribosomal RNA (482 nucleotides) under uncultured bacterium. RNAcentral's name for it is "bacterial SSU rRNA". It matches the Rfam family "Bacterial small subunit ribosomal RNA", at positions 29 to 487 of the family's 1533-position model. The record is from RNAcentral.